GGGGGCAUCGUUCAGUGGUAGGACUUCGGUCUCCAAAACCGAAAACCUGGGUUCGAUUCCUAGUGCCCCCGCAA
Molecule: transfer RNA, 74 nt
Filed under: Candidatus Ryanbacteria bacterium RIFCSPLOWO2_01_FULL_48_26
Lineage: Bacteria; Candidatus Ryaniibacteriota
Description: tRNA-Trp
Rfam family: tRNA
About the family: Transfer RNA (tRNA) molecules are approximately 80 nucleotides in length. Their secondary structure includes four short double-helical elements and three loops (D, anti-codon, and T loops).
Source: RNAcentral